Molecule: long non-coding RNA, 900 nt
Organism: Bufo gargarizans (Asiatic toad)
Lineage: Eukaryota; Metazoa; Chordata; Amphibia; Anura; Bufonidae
Exons: 5
Source: RefSeq, a predicted model, not a curated record
CUGGAACAGCACUGUAUAUCAGCUACAAACCAGAUUACAAGAUACACUUCUUUUUGAAAAAUUAGAGAUAAUGGAAAAUUCAAUUAUUGGGAUAUGACAACUCUUCAGAAACGCCCUGAACACUGAAAAACUGUGAGAUCUACUGGACUCCUGGAAGAGCAGAUCUCCGUUCUGGUACAUAUAGGGCAGUUCCACCUCAAUAGGGGCCUACAAAAAGAGGCCGUCUCGAUGAGAAAAGAAAUUCUGUAAAAUUUCUCUAUAUCCCCAAUCUGAUGAUCUGACAUCUGCUUCCAGGACACAGUUUAAAUAUACAUUUGAAUUUCAUAAAACCAGAUGCAGAAAACUAAACAGAAAGCAGAUUAGGAAACUUCUCUGUUUUGAAAAUGAGAAAAAAGUGGUAUGAUAUUUUAUCCUCAAGGAUCCCCACCCGAAAUAUGUGUCUUUUUAGUUAUCAUGGACAGAAGUAACAGUGUGCAGCGUCCCACUGCUACGGUAGUGGCAUACUGCAAAAAGGUUACAAAUAUGAUUAUUCCCCAGACUCCCCAAUAUCAACAUAAAGAUCACUGGCUGUUAAAGAAAAAAAGCCACAUGGUGGGUAAACUGGUGGUGUAUAUGCAGCAGCCCACUAACUUUCAGUUCUGCCUUCUCCACCAGGAAAAGUAAUACAUCAAACUCCCUGUGGCUCUACCUAUGCUUACCUGCUGACAUGUUCACCCUAGUGGUGUAGAGGUUGUACCAGAGGAAAUGCUUUACUGUUAGCUUUGGUCUUAGCUGGAUAGAUUGCAUGUGCAGCUCUAUUUAGUCAUCCAGAUCCAACGUAGCAAGAAAACAGGGAAAAAGUGUGGUUGGCACCCUGGCAUUGGCAGGUCAUCAGGGGUAUCUAUCACCUUCUCAGGCAUU